This 329-nucleotide ribosomal RNA is filed under the name uncultured bacterium. RNAcentral's name for it is "bacterial SSU rRNA". It matches the Rfam family "Bacterial small subunit ribosomal RNA", at positions 375 to 710 of the family's 1533-position model. The record is from RNAcentral.
GGGGAACCCUGACGCAGCAACGCCGCGUGAGUGAUGAAGGUCUUCGGAUCGUAAAGCUCUGUUAUUGGGGAAGACGUAACUGACGGUACCCGAGGAGGAAGCCACGGCUAACUACGUUGCCAGCAGCCGCGGUAAUACGUAGGUGGCGAGCGUUAUCCGGAUUUACUGGGCGUAAAGGGAGCGUAGGCGGAUGACUAAGUUGGGAUGUGAAAUACCCGGGCUCAACUUUGGGUGCUGCAUUUCCAAACUUGGUUUAUCUAGAGUGCAGGAGAGGAGAGUGGAAUUCCUAGUGUAGCGGUGAAAUGCGUUAGAGAUUUAGGAAGAACAUC